GGAUCCAGACUUUGAUUCUGGCUCAGGAUGAACGCUAGCUACAGGCUUAACACAUGCAAGUCGAGGGGAAACGAUAGAGAAAGCUUGCUUUUUCUAGGCGUCGACCGGCGCACGGGUGAGUAACGCGUAUCCAACCUGCCCAUCACUUGGGGAUAACCUUGCGAAAGUAAGACUAAUACCCAAUGACGUCUCUAGAAGACAUCUGAAAGAGAUUAAAGAUUUAUCGGUGAUGGAUGGGGAUGCGUCUGAUUAGCUUGUUGGCGGGGUAACGGCCCACCAAGGCGACGAUCAGUAGGGGUUCUGAGAGGAAGGUCCCCCACAUUGGAACUGAGACACGGUCCAAACUCCUACGGGAGGCAGCAGUGAGGAAUAUUGGUCAAUGGGCGAGAGCCUGAACCAGCCAAGUAGCGUGCAGGAUGACGGCCCUAUGGGUUGUAAACUGCUUUUAUAAGGGAAUAAAGUGAGUCUCGUGAGACUUUUUGCAUGUACCUUAUGAAUAAGGACCGGCUAAUUCCGUGCCAGCAGCCGCGGUAAUACGGAAGGUCCGGGCGUUAUCCGGAUUUAUUGGGUUUAAAGGGAGCGUAGGCCGGAGAUUAAGCGUGUUGUGAAAUGUAGGCGCUCAACGUCUGCACUGCAGCGCGAACUGGUUUCCUUGAGUACGCACAAAGUGGGCGGAAUUCGUGGUGUAGCGGUGAAAUGCUUAGAUAUCACGAAGAACUCCGAUUGCGAAGGCAGCUCACUGGAGCGCAACUGACGCUGAAGCUCGAAAGUGCGGGUAUCGAACAGGAUUAGAUACCCUGGUAGUCCGCACGGUGAACGAUGGAUGCCCGCUGUUGGUCUGAAUAGGUCAGCGGCCAAGCGAAAGCAUUAAGCAUCCCACCUGGGGAGUACGCCGGCAACGGUGCAACUCAAA
This 913-nucleotide ribosomal RNA is filed under the name uncultured Bacteroidota bacterium. RNAcentral describes it as "bacterial SSU rRNA". It matches the Rfam family "Bacterial small subunit ribosomal RNA", at positions 1 to 905 of the family's 1533-position model. Lineage: Bacteria; Pseudomonadati; Bacteroidota. The record is from RNAcentral.